CCAAGACCCCCCGUGGGCUCAGCAGUUCCCCCCCCUCCAUAGAGCGAUAUCUUUUUUGGGGGAGCCUAGCAGUUUAUUGAGAGAGAGCCCCCGUUUCGUACCAGCCACCCGUGUAAGCGGAUGCCCGGUGGGUUUUAGUCUGUUUAGGGAGCUGUGCUGCCAGCACCUCCGCUUCCAGGGCGUCCCCCCACCCCAGGGACAGCCUGUUCCCUGGGCAGUCCACCCGCCCCUCCUCACCUGCGGCCCUACGGCCCCUCGUCCCUGAGGAUCUGCUGUUCCGUGCGCGUUUGAAAACCCCGAUGCCUCCUGCCCCCCAAGGGGACCCCAGAUGACCCCCGCACGCGGGCCCCUCUCCCGUGGGCGGCUCUGGGCCGGGCGUGUCCAGGGCCUCACGGUCCCGCCCCCCCCAGGCCCUGCAGGCUCUUCCGGCACAGGGCGAGUCGCUCCUCCAGCUGGCGCACGAGCUGGGCCUGCGCGUCUUCAACCGGCACCUGGUGCAGAGCAAGCAGCAGGGCGGGCAGCUGCAGGCCUUCCAGCAGCGCUUCCGGCAGUACCUGCGCCUGCUGGCCUCCGACGCCCAGUGCUCGCUUUGCUCGCGUCUUCCCGGUCACCUUCAGCUCGUUGUCCAUCUGGGAGAGCUGACCUGAGGCCUUGAGGAGUGACCAGAGCCUGGGCUUCCUCUGGACCUGCUGCCGUCACGUCCUUGUCCUAACUGGCUGUCCGUGCCCUAGUCCUUGGCGUAUGAUAAAUCUUUUGAGA
This 759-nucleotide long non-coding RNA is filed under the name Dasypus novemcinctus (nine-banded armadillo). Its description in RNAcentral is "lncRNA (ENSDNOG00000052618.1)". The record is from RNAcentral. Lineage: Eukaryota; Metazoa; Chordata; Mammalia; Cingulata; Dasypodidae.